CAUGUUGUUAGUUGUGGGCGGAGCACCAGGGCACAUUCCUUGGAUGUGAAUACUUGGCCAAUAAACUUAUUAAUUCAUUCAUACAU
This is a long non-coding RNA of Amblyraja radiata (thorny skate), 86 nucleotides long. RefSeq lists it as uncharacterized. The transcript has 3 exons. Lineage: Eukaryota; Metazoa; Chordata; Chondrichthyes; Rajiformes; Rajidae. The record is from RefSeq and is a predicted model, not a curated record.